UACGUAGGGGGCAAGCGUUGUCCGGAAUCAUUGGGCGUAAAGAGCGUGUAGGCGGCCCGGUAAGUCCGCUGUGAAAGUCCAGGGCUCAACCCUGGGAUGCCGGUGGAUACUGUCGGGCUCGAGUCCGGAAGAGGAGUGUGGAAUUCCUGGUGUAGCGGUGAAAUGCGCAGAUAUCAGGAGGAACACCAAUGGCGAAGGCAGCACUCUGGGACGUGACUGACGCUGGGACGCGAAAGCGUGGGGAGCAAACAGG
RNAcentral lists this ribosomal RNA (253 nucleotides) under uncultured bacterium. RNAcentral describes it as "partial 16S ribosomal RNA". It matches the Rfam family "Bacterial small subunit ribosomal RNA", at positions 524 to 776 of the family's 1533-position model. The record is from RNAcentral.